Molecule: non-coding RNA, 793 nt
Organism: Physcomitrium patens
Lineage: Eukaryota; Viridiplantae; Streptophyta; Bryopsida; Funariales; Funariaceae
Source: RefSeq, a predicted model, not a curated record
UUACUAGCCUCAGAACAUGGCUAUGGCUCCUCAACACCUCCAUUGCAAAGGAAUUUGCGAGGUUCGUCGCCGUAGCUCCGCUUCUUACAUCCCUUCUCUCGACUUUCUAUUGCUUCACUCCUGCUGGAUCGUCUGGAUUACCUCGCCUUCCGCCAAGUUGUUGAGAGUGAGCCGUGCCUUGAAUUGCCUUUGUUGGACGAGAAUUUUAAUUCGAGAAACUAACAGUUUAAAAACCUCAAGAGUCUGAACUGGACACCACAUCUUGCAAGUAUAACAUUUGUACUCCCCUGUUGGAAAAGGUGAAUCACCUUGAUACACUCGGAGAAUGAGGAAGCGGAGGAUGCCCAAAUGUAGCGCAUCGAUAGUUUUUCGUAUUAGCUGUAAUGUGCUUAUCACCACAGCAGAAGUUUCCCACUGCAACCGGCAGCUGCCGAGAAUGUAAGGGCCCAGGUCGACACUGCCUUUGGUAGCGCUAAAAAUGACGCUUAUGAGAUUGAUACAGAUGAAGACUUCGUAACUGCGUUGGAAUAUGUGAUGCCUCCAACUCCUGAAAUGGUGAGAAGUUCGACUUAGAAAUUAAGCAAUUUCUACACCUUUUCCCUAUGAAAAUAGUGUAAUCAUCCGUUUCUUUUCCACGUGUCUUAUCUGCUGGUAAAAGCUGUGUGUUGAAUCCAUUCUUGUGAGUGUUUUGGAUCAGUUCUGGAUCAGCAAUGAAAUCAGAAGAGAGGUUUUAUGAUUGGCUACAUAAGUGGACAGCUGUACUGGAUUGUAAUUGCCAGGCCAUUUAUAUCAA